GUGCCAGCCGCCGCGGUAAUACGUAGGGUGCAAGCGUUGUCCGGAAUUAUUGGGCGUAAAGAGCUCGUAGGCGGUUCGUCGCGUCGGCUGUGAAAUCCCGAGGCUCAACCUCGGGUCUGCAGUCGAUACGGGCGGACUGGAGUUCGGCAGGGGAGACUGGAAUUCCUGGUGUAGCGGUGAAAUGCGCAGAUAUCAGGAGGAACACCGGUGGCGAAGGCGGGUCUCUGGGCCGAUACUGACGCUGAGGAGCGAAAGCGUGGGGAGCGAACAGGAUUAGAUACCCGCGUAGUCC
RNAcentral lists this ribosomal RNA (292 nucleotides) under uncultured bacterium. RNAcentral's name for it is "partial 16S ribosomal RNA". It matches the Rfam family "Bacterial small subunit ribosomal RNA", at positions 505 to 796 of the family's 1533-position model. The record is from RNAcentral.